AUUCGGCGCUCGCGCCGCCGCGGUGCGCCUAGCGCGCCGCGAGGCCCGGGAGGCGCGCGGGCAGGGAGCCCGGGGCCAGGGAGGGGUGGCCGGGGGCCGCGACGGCGCCUUUUCCUGAGCAAACCCCGCUCCCGGGUCGCGGCGGCGCCGACCCGCGCCCAGUCCCGCCGCCUCCCCUCCUCCCUGGCUGCCGCACCGCGGUCGCCCGGCUCCGCGUGCUCCCGGGCAGCGGGACCAGAGCUCCUCCAGCUCCCACUCACUGUCGCGGGGGCGGCAAGCGGUGGGGGGAAAUUCCCGCACAGAAGAUUGGAUUUUCGUCAAGUGACAAAGGACGCUUCAAUACAAGUGGGCGGCAACCAUCACCGCUCACUAAUGGAGCGCCCCAGCGGAGCUUUCACUCCCCUCCCGGAUCCUGCAGCCGCCACCGUCGUAUUGUCACAUGUCCUUCACUCUCACCCCAGCACACACCCGGGCCCCACCCACCCCGCCCCGCCCGGCCCAGGCGGUGCCCACCGCACACCUUUGCUCCCCUCCCUGCACAGAGCGCGCACCCUGGAUUGCACACCUGCAAAAAAAAAAAAAAAAAAAAAAAAAAAAAAAAAAUACACGGGGGUCCAGACAGCCCGCCCCUAGCAGAACUCAGGAAACCCCACGUUUGCAUGCAUGGUUUUAGAAGUAAAACAGUUUGUGAUUUUGGAGGUCGGUAUCCCUGCUUAGUGUCAUUUGAGGGCUCUAUUUUACGAGAUAAAAGUCAGCAAAGGCUUUCGUGUUGUUUAAUGAGGGUCUCCAGAAGUAAAGGAAGAAGAUAAGUGCUGAAUUUAUAAGGAUUGAUGACUGGGGGGAUUUUAGGGGAGUUUUAGUUUUACUUCCGUUUAUAGAUUAGAACCAUUGGGGAUUUUUUUUUCAUUCUCUGUACACACUAAUGUAUUUUUCCUUUAAUCUUUUAGGAGUUUGAGACUUCUGCUGACUGGGUUUGUGGGUGUCCCAUGUGCCCCAGCAGUUCAAACUUAGCUCAGAAAGCAUUUUUUCUUACUAAAAAAGCAUGUUCU
Molecule: long non-coding RNA, 1049 nt
Filed under: Homo sapiens (human)
Lineage: Eukaryota; Metazoa; Chordata; Mammalia; Primates; Hominidae
Description: non-protein coding lnc-HBS1L-3:3
Source: RNAcentral